RNAcentral lists this ribosomal RNA (157 nucleotides) under Apophysomyces elegans. RNAcentral describes it as "5.8S ribosomal RNA". It matches the Rfam family "5.8S ribosomal RNA". Rfam says of the family: 5.8S ribosomal RNA (5.8S rRNA) is a component of the large subunit of the eukaryotic ribosome. It is transcribed by RNA polymerase I as part of the 45S precursor that also contains 18S and 28S rRNA. The record is from RNAcentral. Lineage: Eukaryota; Fungi; Mucoromycota; Mucoromycetes; Mucorales; Mucoraceae.
AACUUUUAGCAAUGGAUCUCUUGGUUCUCGCAUCGAUGAAGAACGUAGCAAACUGCGAUAAGUAGUGUGAAUUGCAUUUAGUUCAGUAUCAUUGAAAACACACAAUCAAAACAUUUCUUUUGGUUUGAUUGGCUUUGGGUCUAUCAAAAAGUUUGGC